AACUUGUUACAAUGGGUCACGUGGUUCUCGCAUCGAUGAAGAACGCAGCGAAAUGCGAUAAGUAGUGUGAAUUGCAGAAUUCAGUGAAUCAUCGAAUUUUUGAACGCACAUUGCGCCUUCCGGAAUUCCGGAAGGCAUGCCUGUUCGAGCGUCAUAUAAGCACCUCAAGCAUGAAUUUAUUCUUACUUGGUAUUGGUCAAGGAUUGAGCUUGCCUUCUUCCUGUCCGAAAUGCAAUGGCGAAGUCCUGUCUUCCAUUCAGUGUAGUAAUCAACGUUAUGUUUCACUUCUGGACAUGAGAGGCUUUUGCUACAAAUCAAAUUCCCCAAUUCUAAAGUUUGACCUCGGAUCAGGUAGGGAUACCCGCUGAACUUAAGCAUAUCAAUAAGCGGAGGCU
This 395-nucleotide unclassified non-coding RNA is filed under the name uncultured Ascomycota. RNAcentral describes it as "sequence contains ITS2". The stretch from base 1 to 154 matches the Rfam family "5.8S ribosomal RNA". Lineage: Eukaryota; Fungi; Ascomycota. The record is from RNAcentral.